CCUACGGGGGGCUGCAGUGGGGAAUAUUGGACAAUGGGCGAAGGCCUGAUCCAGCCAUGCCGCGUGUGUGAAGAAGGCCUUCGGGUUGUAAAGCACUUUCAGUGGGGAAGAAAGCCUUGGGGCUAAUACCCUCGAGGAAGGACAUCACCCACAGAAGAAGCACCGGCUAACUCCGUGCCAGCAGCCGCGGUAAUACGGAGGGUGCGAGCGUUAAUCGGAAUUACUGGGCGUAAAGCGCGCGUAGGCGGUCUGAUAAGCCGGUUGUGAAAGCCCCGGGCUCAACCUGGGAACGGCAUCCGGAACUGUCAGGCUAGAGUGCAGGAGAGGAAGGUAGAAUUCCCGGUGUAGCGGUGAAAUGCGUAGAGAUCGGGAGGAAUACCAGUGGCGAAGGCGGCCUUCUGGACUGACACUGACGCUGAGGUGCGAAAGCGUGGGUAGCAAACAGGAUUAGAUACCCCGGUAGUC
RNAcentral lists this ribosomal RNA (465 nucleotides) under Vreelandella stevensii. RNAcentral's name for it is "partial 16S ribosomal RNA". It matches the Rfam family "Bacterial small subunit ribosomal RNA", at positions 338 to 795 of the family's 1533-position model. The record is from RNAcentral. Lineage: Bacteria; Pseudomonadati; Pseudomonadota; Gammaproteobacteria; Oceanospirillales; Halomonadaceae.